GGACCUGACUGCUAUCGGAUUGAUACUAAGCCAUGCGAGUCAUUGUAGCAAUACAAGGCAGACGGCUCAGUAACGCGUAGUCAACCUACCCUAUGGACGGGAAUAACCUCGGGAAACUGAGUAUAAUGCCCGAUAGAACACUAUACCUGGAAUGGUUUGUGUUCCAAAUGAUUUAUCGCCGUAGGAUGGGACUGCGGCCUAUCAGUUUGUUGGUGAGGUAAUGGCCCACCAAGACUAUUACAGGUACGGGCUCUGAGAGGAGUGGCCCGGAGAUGGGUACUGAGACACGGACCCAGGCCCUAUGGGGCGCAGCAGGCGAGAAAACUUUGCAAUGUGCGAAAGCACGACAAGGUUAAUCCGAGUGGUUUCUGCUAAAGGAACCUUUUGACAGUCCUAGAAACACUGUUGAAUAAGGGGUGGGCAAGUUCUGGUGUCAGCCGCCGCGGUAAAACCAGCACCUCAAGUGGUCAGGAUGAUUAUUGGGCCUAAAGCAUCCGUAGCCGGCUCUGUAAGUUUUCGGUUAAAUCUGUACGCUUAACGUACAGGCUGCUGGGAAUACUGCAGAGCUAGGGAGUGGGAGAGGUAGACGGUACUCGGGAGGAAGUGGUAAAAUGCUUUGAUCUCUCGAUGACCACCUGUGGCGAAGGCGGUCUACCAGAACACGUCCGACGGUGAGGGAUGAAAGCUGGGGGAGCAAACCGGAUUAGAUACCCGGGUAGUCCCAGCUGUAAACUAUGCAAACUCAGUGAUGCACUGGCUUGUGGCCAGUGCAGUGUUGCAGGGAAGCCGUUAAGUUUGCCGCCUGGGAAGUACGUACGCAAGUAUGAAACUUAA
RNAcentral lists this ribosomal RNA (834 nucleotides) under uncultured archaeon. RNAcentral's name for it is "bacterial SSU rRNA". It matches the Rfam family "Archaeal small subunit ribosomal RNA", at positions 19 to 859 of the family's 1478-position model. The record is from RNAcentral.